This 482-nucleotide ribosomal RNA is filed under the name uncultured bacterium. RNAcentral's name for it is "partial 16S ribosomal RNA". It matches the Rfam family "Bacterial small subunit ribosomal RNA", at positions 30 to 507 of the family's 1533-position model. The record is from RNAcentral.
AUUGAACGCUGGCGGCAUGCUUUACACAUGCAAGUCGAACGGUAACAGGCCGCAAGGUGCUGACGAGUGGCGAACGGGUGAGUAAUGCAUCGGAACGUGCCCAGCCGUGGGGGAUAACUACUCGAAAGAGUAGCUAAUACCGCAUACGAUCUAUGGAUGAAAGCGGGGGACCGUAAGGCCUCGCGCGAUUGGAGCGGCCGAUGUCAGAUUAGGUAGUUGGUGGGGUAAAGGCUCACCAAGCCAACGAUCUGUAGCUGGUCUGAGAGGACAACCAGCCACACUGGGACUGAGACACGGCCCAGACUCCUACGGGAGGCAGCAGUGGGGAAUUUUGGACAAUGGGCGCAAGCCUGAUCCAGCAAUGCCGCGUGCAGGAAGAAGGCCUUCGGGUUGUAAACUGCUUUUGUACGGAACGAAACGGCUCUGGUUAAUACCCGGGGCUAAUGACGGUACCGUAAGAAUAAGCACCGGCUAACUACGUG